GACGAACGCUGGCGGCGUGCUUAACACAUGCAAGUCGAACGGAAAGGCCCUGCUUUUGUGGGGUGCUCGAGUGGCGAACGGGUGAGUAACACGUGAGUAACCUGCCCUUGACUUUGGGAUAACUUCAGGAAACUGGGGCUAAUACCGGAUAGGAGCUCCUGCUGCAUGGGGGGGGUUGGAAAGUUUCGGUGGAUGGGGAUGGACUCGCGGCUUAUCAGCUGGUUGGUGGGGUAGUGGCUUACCAAGGCUUUGACGGGUAGCCGGCCUGAGAGGGUGAACGGCGACAUUGGGACUGAGAUACGGCCCAGACUCCUACGGGAGGCAGCAGGGGGGAAUAUUGCACAAUGGGGGGAAGCCUGAUGCAGCAACGCCGCGUGCGGGAUGACGGCCUUCGGGUUGUAAACCGCUUUCGCCUGUGACGAAGCGUGAGUGACGGUAAUGGGUAAAGAAGCACCGGCUAACUACGUG
This 468-nucleotide ribosomal RNA is filed under the name uncultured bacterium. RNAcentral's name for it is "partial 16S ribosomal RNA". It matches the Rfam family "Bacterial small subunit ribosomal RNA", at positions 28 to 507 of the family's 1533-position model. The record is from RNAcentral.